Molecule: ribosomal RNA, 1704 nt
Filed under: Hyperoglyphe japonica (Pacific barrelfish)
Lineage: Eukaryota; Metazoa; Chordata; Actinopteri; Scombriformes; Centrolophidae
Description: 16S rRNA
Rfam family: Bacterial large subunit ribosomal RNA
Source: RNAcentral
UGCCGACCAGCUAGCCCGCCCAACAAAAAACAACACCCCAAUAUUAAUACCCCCAAAGACCCCCCCCCCCCGCUUAAUCAAACCAUUUUACCCCCCCAGUAUGGGCGACAGAAAAGGAACUAUCGGAGCUAUAGAGAAAGUACCGCAAGGGAAUGCUGAAAAAGAAAUGAAAUAAUUCAGUGAAGCCAAAAAAAGCAGAGAUUUCACCUCGUACCUUUUGCAUCAUGAUUUAGCUAGUACCCCCCAAGCAAAGAGCACUUUAGUUUGGACCCCCGAAACUACGUGAGCUACUCCAAGACAGCCUAUCAAUAGGGCAAACCCGUCUCUGUGGCAAUAGAGUGGGAAGAUCUUUGAGUAGAGGUGACAGACCUACCGAACCUAGUUAUAGCUGGUUGCCUGAGAAUUGGAUAAGAGUUCAGCCUCCAGGCUUUCUCCCUUCAACCCCGGUACUUCUCCACUACCGAUAUCUAAAAGAAGCCUAGAGAGUUAAUCAAAGGGGGAACAGCUCCUUUGACCCAAAACACAACUUUCCCAGGAGGGUAAAGAUCAUAAUUACUAAAGGGACAUGCCCUGGUGGGCUUAAGAGCAGCCACCCAAACAGAAAGCGUUCAAGCUCAAGCAUUUAACCUUACCCAUAUAUCUCGAUAACCAAAUCCCAACCCCCUAAACACUAUCAGGCCAUCUCAUGCAUACAUGAGAGUGCACAUGCUAAUAUGAGUAAUAAGAGAGUACCCCGCUCUCUCCCUGCACACGUGUAUAUCGGCUACGAACCCCCACCGAAACUUAACGGUCCCAAACAAAGAGGGCCCUGAACAACAAGUAACCAACUAGAAAAACAUCCAAUGAAUAACCGUUAACCCAACACUGGUGUGCCUAUAAGGAAAGACUAAAAGAAAAAGAAGGAACUCGGCAAACACUAGAAGCCUCGCCUGUUUACCAAAAACAUCGCCUCUUGCAAAAAUAAAGAAUAAGAGGUCCAGCCUGCCCUGUGACUAUAUGUUCAACGGCCGCGGUAUUUUAACCGUGCGAAGGUAGCGUAAUCACUUGUCUUUUAAAUGGAGACCUGUAUGAAUGGCAUUACGAGGGCUUAACUGUCUCCUUUUUCAAGUCAAUGAAAUUGAUCUCCCCGUGCAGAAGCGGGGAUAAUCCCAUAAGACGAGAAGACCCUAUGGAGCUUUAGACACCAAGGCAUAUCAUGUUACCUAUCCCUACACCCUGGGAAUUAAACCUAUUGAAUCAUGCCCCUAUGUCUUCGGUUGGGGCGACCACGGGGAAAUAAAGAACCCCCGCGUGGAAUGGGAGCACUGACUCCUACGACCAAGAGCUGCAGCUCUAACGAACAGAAUUUUUGACCAAUAAAGAUCCGGCAACGCCGAUCAACGGACCAAGUUACCCUAGGGAUAACAGCGCAAUCCCCUUUUAGAGCCCGUAUCAACAAGGGGGUUUACGACCUCGAUGUUGGAUCAGGACAUCCUAAUGGUGCAGCCGCUAUUGAGGGUUCGUUUGUUCAACGAUUAAAGUCCUACGUGAUCUGAGUUCAGACCGGAGUAAUCCAGGUCAGUUUCUAUCUAUGACAUGUUCUUUUCUAGUACGAAAGGACCAAAAAGAAGAGGCCAAUGCUCAAAGCACGCCUCACUCCUCCUAUUGAAAACAACUAAAAUAGGCAAAAGAGCAUAUCCCUUUAUGCCGGAGAUACACGGUAUA